GUCCUCUUGAUUUUAUAUGAGGUCGGGCCUGCCCAGUGAUUUAUUUUAACGGCCGCGGUAUUUUGACCGUGCAAAGGUAGCAUAAUCAUUAGUCUUUUAAUAGGAGACUGGAAUGAAAGGUUUGACGAAAUAGUAGCUGUCUCAUUUAUAUAAUUUUGAAUUUAACUUUUAAGUUAAAAGGCUUAAAUUUUGUUGAAGGACGAGAAGACCCUAUAGAGCUUUACUGAUAAAUAUUUAUUUUUGUUGUUAAUUAUCUUGAUUUUUUUUUAUCUGUUUUGUUGGGGUGACGAGAAAUAUAAUUUUAACUUUUGUUAUUUUUAUAACAUUGAUUUAUGAAUUUUAGAUCCACUAAUAGUGAUUAUUAGAAUAAGUUACCUUAGGGAUAACAGCGUAAUCCUCUUUGAGAGUUCAAAUUUACAAGAGGGCUUGCGACCUCGAUGUUGGAUUAAGAUGAUAAUUAGGUGCAGUAGCUUAAUUAAUAGGUCUGUUCGACCUUUAAAUUCUUACAUGAUCUGAGUUCAGACCGG
RNAcentral lists this ribosomal RNA (527 nucleotides) under Podolestes orientalis. RNAcentral's name for it is "partial 16S ribosomal RNA". It matches the Rfam family "Bacterial large subunit ribosomal RNA", at positions 1832 to 2619 of the family's 2925-position model. Lineage: Eukaryota; Metazoa; Arthropoda; Insecta; Odonata; Argiolestidae. The record is from RNAcentral.